This 496-nucleotide ribosomal RNA is filed under the name uncultured bacterium. RNAcentral's name for it is "partial 16S ribosomal RNA". It matches the Rfam family "Bacterial small subunit ribosomal RNA", at positions 28 to 506 of the family's 1533-position model. The record is from RNAcentral.
GAUGAACGCUGGCGGCGUGCCUAAUACAUGCAAGUCGAGCGAACAGACGAGGAGCUUGCUCCUCUGACGUUAGCGGCGGACGGGUGAGUAACACGUGGAUAACCUACCUAUAAGACUGGGAUAACUUCGGGAAACCGGAGCUAAUACCGGAUAAUAUAUUGAACCGCAUGGUUCAAUAGUGAAAGACGGUUUUGCUGUCACUUAUAGAUGGAUCCGCGCCGCAUUAGCUAGUUGGUAAGGUAACGGCUUACCAAGGCAACGAUGCGUAGCCGACCUGAGAGGGUGAUCGGCCACACUGGAACUGAGACACGGUCCAGACUCCUACGGGAGGCAGCAGUAGGGAAUCUUCCGCAAUGGGCGAAAGCUUGACGGAGCAACGCCGCGUGAGUGAUGAAGGUCUUCGGAUCGUAAAACUCUGUUAUUAGGGAAGAACAAAUGUGUAAGUAACUAUGCACGUCUUGACGGUACCGAAGCAGAAAGCCACGGCUAACUACGU